RNAcentral lists this ribosomal RNA (375 nucleotides) under uncultured organism. Its description in RNAcentral is "partial 16S ribosomal RNA". It matches the Rfam family "Bacterial small subunit ribosomal RNA", at positions 527 to 896 of the family's 1533-position model. The record is from RNAcentral.
GUAGGUGGCAAGCGUUGUCCGGAAUUAUUGGGCGUAAAGCGCGCGCAGGCGGUCCUUUAAGUCUGAUGUGAAAGCCCCACGGCUCAACCGUGGAGGGUCAUUGGAAACUGGGGGACUUGAGUACAGAAGAGGAAAGCGGAAUUCCAAGUGUAGCGGUGAAAUGCGUAGAGAUUUGGAGGAACACCAGUGGCGAAGGCGGCUUUCUGGUCUGUAACUGACGCUGAGGCGCGAAAGCGUGGGGAGCAAACAGGAUUAGAUACCCUGGUAGUCCACGCCGUAAACGAUGAGUGCUAAGUGUUAGGGGGUUUCCCGCCCCCCUUAGUGCUGCAGCUAACGCAUUAAGCACUCCGCCUGGGGAGUACGGCCGCAAGGCUG